AGCGAACGCUGGCGGCAUGCCUAACACAUGCAAGUCGAACGAGACCUUCGGGUCUAGUGGCGCACGGGUGCGUAACGCGUGGGAACCUGCCCUUAGGUUCGGAAUAACUCCCCGAAAGGGGUGCUAAUACCGGAUAAUGUCUUCGGACCAAAGAUUUAUCGCCUUUGGAUGGGCCCGCGUUGGAUUAGCUAGUUGGUAGGGUAAAAGCCUACCAAGGCGACGAUCCAUAGCUGGUCUGAGAGGAUGAUCAGCCACACUGGGACUGAGACACGGCCCAGAAUCCUACGGGAGGCAGCAGUGGGGAAUAUUGGACAAUGGGCGAAAGCCUGAUCCAGCAAUGCCGCGUGAGUGAUGAAGGCCUUAGGGUUGUAAAGCUCUUUUACCCGGGAUGAUAAUGACAGUACCGGGAGAAUAAGCUCCGGCUAACUCCGUG
Molecule: ribosomal RNA, 433 nt
Filed under: uncultured bacterium
Lineage: Bacteria
Description: partial 16S ribosomal RNA
Rfam family: Bacterial small subunit ribosomal RNA
Source: RNAcentral